CCGUACUAAGUGGGGAGUUAGCGGUGCCCUGUACUCGCAAUCCGCUAUAGCGAGGCUGAAUUCCCGGCCCAGGGUCGUGCUGCGCAGUGAAUGGAGUCGGUAAGUGGUGUUGAGGGAUGGAUCCUGUGCAACAUAGUGCCACGAACCCUGUCAGGUCCUGACGGAAGCAGCAGUAAGAGGAUUUUUAUGUGUGCCGCAGAGCAAUCUGUUCUGAGCUGGCUGCCGAAAUCCCUGCUGUGCAUGCGAUUCAAAGCCGGGUGUACG
This 264-nucleotide signal recognition particle RNA is filed under the name pig gut metagenome. RNAcentral describes it as "Bacterial large signal recognition particle RNA". It matches the Rfam family "Bacterial large signal recognition particle RNA". Rfam says of the family: The signal recognition particle (SRP) is a universally conserved ribonucleoprotein involved in the co-translational targeting of proteins to membranes. The record is from RNAcentral.